UUUUUUAAUUGAGGACUGGAAUGAAAGGUAGAUACUGAAGGGAAGGUUUUUUAAGAUAAAUUUGAAUUUAAUUUAAAAGUAAAAAAGCUUUUAUAAAUCCUUGGGACGAGAAGACCCUAGAAGUUUUAAAUAUUUAAUAUUUUUGAUUGGGGCAAUUAUUGAAGAUAUAAAUUUUUAAUUAAAUUUAAUUAGUGAAUUAGAAAUUACUCUAGGGAUAACAGCGUUAUUUAAUUUAUGAGUUCUUAUUAAAAAUUAAGUUUGCGACCUCGAUGUUGAAUUAAAAUUAAUUUAUGGUGAAGGGGCUAUAAAUAUUUAGUCUGUUCGACUAUUAAAAUUUUACGUGAUCUGAGUUCAGACCGG
Molecule: ribosomal RNA, 360 nt
Filed under: Eucynortula nannocornuta
Lineage: Eukaryota; Metazoa; Arthropoda; Arachnida; Opiliones; Cosmetidae
Description: partial large subunit ribosomal RNA
Rfam family: Bacterial large subunit ribosomal RNA (bases 214-360)
Source: RNAcentral